Molecule: non-coding RNA, 252 nt
Filed under: Candidatus Woesebacteria bacterium GW2011_GWA1_34_41
Lineage: Bacteria; Candidatus Woeseibacteriota
Also listed under: 3 other names
Source: RNAcentral
UGUCGUAGGUUAACACUUUGCGACCCUUCGAAGCAAUUCGGAGUGCGAAAUCUGGCUCAUAUCGGUGGAACUUCUUAUUUUUAAUAAGAACAAUACCGAGGGAAGUCGACUUAAAUUUUAAGUUUGACCCCGUAACGACUGAUUUUGGUAUUUUUAAAUAUCAAAUGAUAUACAAGAUAAUACGCUUGUAUAACACGCCAGCUCCCGAUUUAAUCGGGAUGAAGGUAUAGUCUAAUUACAGUUACCUUUUAA